Molecule: long non-coding RNA, 271 nt
Organism: Sceloporus undulatus (fence lizard)
Lineage: Eukaryota; Metazoa; Chordata; Lepidosauria; Squamata; Phrynosomatidae
Exons: 3
Source: RefSeq, a predicted model, not a curated record
UUUUUCCAGGCUCUCUCUGCCAGUUGCAUAGAUGCCUUAGAGAUGGGGCAGAAAGACCUGGGUCUCUGACCACUAAAGAUUGAGUUGAUCAAGACCAUUGUGGUGGUGUUGGAGAGCCUACCAUUGACCUCCGUGCCUUCUCCUGUGCUGUCUUGUGCCAUGCUAGCACUCUACCAUCUCAGGACUUCUACAUCUCCUCAUGCUCAACACUUGAGCUUCUGCUGAAGGGUUUUCUCAUGGAGGAUGGAACUGUAGACCAUCUGCUCUGCCU